Molecule: transfer RNA, 67 nt
Filed under: Bacillus tuaregi
Lineage: Bacteria; Bacillati; Bacillota; Bacilli; Caryophanales; Bacillaceae
Rfam family: tRNA
About the family: Transfer RNA (tRNA) molecules are approximately 80 nucleotides in length.
Source: RNAcentral
CGGGUGUAGUUUAAUGGUAGAAUACCAGCUUCCCAAGCUGAUGACGGGGGUUCGAUUCCCCUCACCC